GUUCGGCUGGACCGGAUACAGGUGCUGCAUGGCUGUCGUCAGCUCGUGCCGUGAGGUGUCGGGUUAAGUCCCAUAACGAGUCGCAACCCCUAUCAUUAGUUGCCAUCAGGUCAAGCUGGGGACUCUAAGUGAAACUGACCGUACGCAAGUAGUGAGGAAGGUGGGGAUGACGUCAAGUCCUCAUGGCCUUUAUGACCAGGGCUACACACGUACUACAAUGGCCGAUACAAAGGGCAGCGACACUGCGAGGUGAAGCCAAUCCCGUAAAAUCGGUCUCAGUCCGGAUUGGAGUCUGCAACUCGACUCCAUGAAGUUGGAAUCGCUAGUAAUCGUGGAUCAGCAUGCCACGGUGAAUACGUUCCCGGGCCUU
Molecule: ribosomal RNA, 370 nt
Filed under: uncultured Desulfobulbus sp.
Lineage: Bacteria; Pseudomonadati; Thermodesulfobacteriota; Desulfobulbia; Desulfobulbales; Desulfobulbaceae
Description: bacterial SSU rRNA
Rfam family: Bacterial small subunit ribosomal RNA
Source: RNAcentral